AGCAGCCGCGGUAAUUCCAGCUCCAAUAGCGUAUAUUAAAGUUGUUGCAGUUAAAAGCUCGUAGUUGAAUUUCGGGGUUAGUAGGUUGGUCAUGCCUCUGGUAUGUACUGGUCUCACUGAUUCCUCCUUCCUGAUGAACCUUAAUGCCAUUAAUUUGGUGUUUUGGGGAAUUUGGACUGUUACUUUGAAAAAUUAGAGUGUUUAAAGCAAGCUAACGCUUGAAUACAUUAGCAUGGAAUAAUGAAAUAGGACGUUCGAUCCUAUUUUGUUGGUUUCUAGGAUUGACGUAAUGAUUAAUAGGGAUAGUUGGGGGCAUUAGUAUUCAAUUGUCAGAGGUGAAAUUCUUGGAUUUAUUGAAGACUAACUACUGCGAAAGCAUUUGCCAAGGAUGUUUUCAUUAAUCAAGAACGAAAGUUAGGGAUCGAAGACGAUCAGAUACCGUCGUAGUCUUAACCAUAAACUAUGCCGACUAGGGAUCGGAUGAUGUUAAUUUUUAUGUACUCAUUCGGCGUCCUUACGG
This 520-nucleotide unclassified non-coding RNA is filed under the name uncultured Glomus. RNAcentral describes it as "SSU rRNA". It matches the Rfam family "Eukaryotic small subunit ribosomal RNA", at positions 569 to 1093 of the family's 1831-position model. Lineage: Eukaryota; Fungi; Glomeromycota; Glomeromycetes; Glomerales; Glomeraceae. The record is from RNAcentral.